CUUUCAGUCCGUUAGGUAAAAGCAGCCCGUCAAUCUGAUUCCAGUGGCGUGAACUGACAGAGUUUGAGGGGUGUUUCGUAGCUGAGGAUGUGGACUAAAGGUCAUUGUCCAAAGGCGAGGCUGGUAGCAAAGACGGCCACCAAACUGUGGUCCAGCAAGCCCCCAGAACCUUCCCGCCCUGUCCCUUCUGCUCAGCCCCGGCCACAAGUCCAAAAACGCAGACGCAGGCAAGGACGGGAAAAGACUAUUCUGUCAGCUCAACAUAAUAAAGUUGGAGAUCAAACAUUAAACUGGAGUGAAAAACAGAAAAUAGCACACACGGCUCAAACACCUGCUGGGACAAAGAAAGGGAUAC
This is a long non-coding RNA of Poecilia latipinna (sailfin molly), 355 nucleotides long. RefSeq lists it as uncharacterized. The record is from RefSeq and is a predicted model, not a curated record. The transcript is spliced from 3 exons. Lineage: Eukaryota; Metazoa; Chordata; Actinopteri; Cyprinodontiformes; Poeciliidae.